GCCUGGGUGGUGAAAUGGUAGACACGAGGGACUUAAAAUCCCUUGGCUUCACGGCCGUGUGGGUUCGACUCCCAUUCCGGGCA
RNAcentral lists this transfer RNA (83 nucleotides) under Saprospiraceae bacterium. Its description in RNAcentral is "tRNA-Leu". It matches the Rfam family "tRNA". Rfam says of the family: Transfer RNA (tRNA) molecules are approximately 80 nucleotides in length. Their secondary structure includes four short double-helical elements and three loops (D, anti-codon, and T loops). Further hydrogen bonds mediate the characteristic L-shaped molecular structure. tRNAs have two regions of fundamental functional importance: the anti-codon, which is responsible for specific mRNA codon recognition, and the 3' end, to which the tRNAs corresponding amino acid is attached (by aminoacyl-tRNA synthetases). tRNAs cope with the degeneracy of the genetic code in two manners: having more than one tRNA (with a specific anti-codon) for a particular amino acid; and 'wobble' base-pairing, i.e. permitting non-standard base-pairing at the 3rd anti-codon position. The record is from RNAcentral. Lineage: Bacteria; Pseudomonadati; Bacteroidota; Saprospiria; Saprospirales; Saprospiraceae.